Long non-coding RNA from Amphimedon queenslandica, 547 nucleotides. RefSeq lists it as uncharacterized. Lineage: Eukaryota; Metazoa; Porifera; Demospongiae; Haplosclerida; Niphatidae. The record is from RefSeq and is a predicted model, not a curated record. The transcript is spliced from 5 exons.
AAAUGGCGAAUUUUCUGUCCAGCAAAUACUACUCAGAAUCUAAAGUUUUAAAGCUAAAACUCAUCCUAGAAAUUUUUGUGAAGAAGUCCUAAUGGUAUAGAAAUUACUGAAGAGGCUAAUUGUAUUCAUCAUGUUGUAAUGGAAAUCUUUUACUGGAAGUGAGUAAGAUUCCUGCAGAUGUACAGGCUAUAGGUGGUCCUCUUAGUAUCAGUGGAGAGGUACUGUAGCUCAUGCCUUCAAUCUCAGUGGAUUGAGGGAAGUGUGUAUCGGGAGAGUGGAUAAAGAUGAAGUCAGUGACACUUGAUUUGGUUGAAUUCAUAUUUAAAAAAUGUUCAGCUAAUGGUACAGGAUGUGGUGUUUGUCAUUCAAGGGAUCUGUUGUUCAGGUUUAGUGAAGAUGUGGUUACAUGUCCUAACUGCUCCUCACACUUUCACUGGUUAUAGCAAGUUCCUGUUAAAGGUUGGAGUACAUUAGGUAUGUGUCAAUAUAAUUAUAUUGUUCUCUGUUCUAGUGUGGGCAGCAAUGUAGUGCCGCCUCCACGUGACAC